CAGUCGCCGCGGUAAUGCGUAGGUCCCGAGCGUUGUCCGGAUUUAUUGGGCGUAAAGCGAGCGCAGGCGGUUAGAUAAGUCUGAAGUGAAAGGCAGUGGCUCAACCAUUGUAGGCUUUGGAAACUGUUUAACUUGAGUGCAGAAGGGGAGAGUGGAAUUCCAUGUGUAGCGGUGAAAUGCGUAGAGAUGUGGAGGAACACCAGUGGCGAAGGCGACUCUCUGGUCUGUAACUGACGCUGAGGAGCGAAAGCGUGGGGAGCGAACAGGAUUAGAUACCCGCGUAGUCCCUGUCUCUUAUACC
RNAcentral lists this ribosomal RNA (301 nucleotides) under uncultured bacterium. Its description in RNAcentral is "partial 16S ribosomal RNA". It matches the Rfam family "Bacterial small subunit ribosomal RNA", at positions 509 to 808 of the family's 1533-position model. The record is from RNAcentral.